RNAcentral lists this non-coding RNA (30 nucleotides) under Mus musculus (house mouse). Lineage: Eukaryota; Metazoa; Chordata; Mammalia; Rodentia; Muridae. The record is from RNAcentral.
UAGCAGCUGCUCACAUUUUGUCCAGUCAGG